Molecule: ribosomal RNA, 482 nt
Filed under: uncultured bacterium
Lineage: Bacteria
Description: partial 16S ribosomal RNA
Rfam family: Bacterial small subunit ribosomal RNA
Source: RNAcentral
AUUGAACGCUGGCGGCAUGCCUUACACAUGCAAGUCGAACGGUAACAGGUCUUCGGAUGCUGACGAGUGGCGAACGGGUGAGUAAUACAUCGGAACGUGCCCAGACGUGGGGGAUAACGAGGCGAAAGCUUUGCUAAUACCGCAUACGAUCUAAGGAUGAAAUCAGGGGACCGCAAGGCCUUGUGCGGUUGGAGCGGCCGAUGGCAGAUUAGGUAGUGGUUGGGAUAAAAGCUUACCAAGCCGACGAUCUGGAGGUGGUCUGAGAGGACGACCAGCCACACUGGGACUGAGACACGGCCCAGACUCCUACGGGAGGCAGCAGUGGGGAAUUUUGGACAAUGGGCGAAAGCCUGAUCCAGCAAUGCCGCGUGCAGGAUGAAGGCCUUCGGGUUGUAAACUGCUUUUGUACGGAACGAAAAGGUUCUGGCUAAUACCUGGGGCACAUGACGGUACCGUAAGAAUAAGCACCGGCUAACUACGUG